GACGAACGCUGGCGGCGUGCUUAACACAUGCAAGUCGAACGGAAAGGCCCUGCUUUUGGGGGGUGCUCGAGUGGCGAACGGGUGAGUAACACGUGAGUAACCUGCCCUUGACUUUGGGAUAACUUCAGGAAACUGGGGCUAAUACCGGAUAGGAGCUCCUGCUGCAUGGUGGGGGUUGGAAAGUUUCGGCGGUUGGGGAUGGACUCGCGGCUUAUCAGCUUGUUGGUGGGGUAGUGGCUUACCAAGGCUUUGACGGGUAGCCGGCCUGAGAGGGUGACCGGCCACAUUGGGACUGAGAUACGGCCCAGACUCCUACGGGAGGCAGCAGUGGGGAAUCUUGCACAAUGGGCGGAAGCCUGAUGCAGCAACGCCGCGUGCGGGAUGACGGCCUUCGGGUUGUAAACCGCUUUCGCCUGUGACGAAGCGUGAGUGACGGUAAUGUGUAAAGAAGCACCGGCUAACUACGUG
RNAcentral lists this ribosomal RNA (468 nucleotides) under uncultured bacterium. RNAcentral's name for it is "partial 16S ribosomal RNA". It matches the Rfam family "Bacterial small subunit ribosomal RNA", at positions 28 to 507 of the family's 1533-position model. The record is from RNAcentral.